AUUGAACGCUGGCGGCAUGCCUUACACAUGCAAGUCGAACGGCAGCACGGGAGCAAUCCUGGUGGCGAGUGGCGAACGGGUGAGUAAAGUAUCGGAACGUGCCCAGUCGUGGGGGAUAACGUAGCGAAAGUUACGCUAAUACCGCAUACGAUCUAUGGAUGAAAGCGGGGGAUCGCAAGACCUCGCGCGAUUGGAGCGGCCGAUAUCAGAUUAGGUAGUUGGUGGGGUAAAGGCUCACCAAGCCGACGAUCUGUAGCUGGUCUGAGAGGACGAACAGCCACACUGGGACGGAGACACGGCCCAGACUCCUACGGGAGGCAGCAGUGGGGAAUUUUGGACAAUGGGCGAAAGCCUGAUUCAGCCAUGCCGCGUGCAGGAUGAAGGCCUUCGGGUUGUAAACUGCUUUUGUACGGAACGAAAAGGUUUGGCCUAAUAAGCUGAGCUCAUGACGGUACCGUAAGAAUAAGCACCGGCUAACUACGUGCCAGCCGCCGCAGUAA
Molecule: ribosomal RNA, 500 nt
Filed under: uncultured bacterium
Lineage: Bacteria
Description: partial 16S ribosomal RNA
Rfam family: Bacterial small subunit ribosomal RNA
Source: RNAcentral